RNAcentral lists this ribosomal RNA (440 nucleotides) under uncultured bacterium. Its description in RNAcentral is "partial 16S ribosomal RNA". It matches the Rfam family "Bacterial small subunit ribosomal RNA", at positions 338 to 795 of the family's 1533-position model. The record is from RNAcentral.
CCUACGGGUGGCAGCAGUGGGGAAUAUUGCACAAUGGGGGAAACCCUGAUGCAGCGACGCCGCGUGAGUGAAGAAGUAUUUCGGUAUGUAAAGCUCUAUCAGCAGGGAAGAAAAUGACGGUACCUGAUUAAGAAGCCCCGGCUAACUACGUGCCAGCAGCCGCGGCAACACGUAGGGGGCAAGCGUUAUCCGGAUGUACUGGGUGUAAAGGGAGCGUAGACGGUUAUGUAAGUCUGGAGUGAAAGCCCGGGGCCCAACCCCGGGACUGCUUUGGAAACUGUGUAACUGGAGUACAGGAGGGGCAGGCGGAAUUCCUGGUGUAGCGGUGAAAUGCGUAGAUAUCAGGAAGAACACCGGCGGCGAAGGCGGCCUGCUGGACUGAAACUGACGUUGAGGCUCGAAAGCGUGGGGAGCGAACAGGAUUAGAUACCCGGGUAGUC